Molecule: ribosomal RNA, 426 nt
Filed under: uncultured bacterium
Lineage: Bacteria
Description: bacterial SSU rRNA
Rfam family: Bacterial small subunit ribosomal RNA
Source: RNAcentral
UGGGGAAUUGUUCGCAAUGGGCGCAAGCCUGACGACGCAACGCCGCGUGGAGGAUGAAGGUCUUCGGAUUGUAAACUCCUGUUGCCCGGGACGAAUGGCUCCAACCUAACACGUUGGCGUGUGACGGUACCGGGUGAGGAAGCACCGGCUAACUCUGUGCCAGCCGCCGCGGUAAUACAGAGGGUGCGAGCGGUGUCCGGAAUCACGGGGCGUAAAGGGCGCGUAGGUGGUGGCUUAAGCGUGCGGUGAAAGCUCGGAGCUCAACUCCGAGUCGGCCGUGCGAACUGGGCUCACUGGAGCAUAGUAGAGGCAGGUGGAAUUCCGGGUGUAGCGGUGGAAUGCGUAGAGAUCCGGAAGAACACCGGUGGCGAAGGCGGCCUGCUGGGCUAUGGCUGACACUGAGGCGCGACAGCGUGGGGAGCAAAC